AUUGAACGCUGGCGGCAGGCUUAACACAUGCAAGUCGAGCGAGGGAAGGUAGCUUGCUACCGGACCUAGCGGCGGACGGGUGAGUAAUGCUUAGGAAUCUGCCUAUUAGUGGGGGACAACAUCUCGAAAGGGAUGCUAAUACCGCAUACGUCCUACGGGAGAAAGCAGGGGAUCUUCGGACCUUGCGCUAAUAGAUGAGCCUAAGUCGGAUUAGCUAGUUGGUGGGGUAAAGGCCUACCAAGGCGACGAUCUGUAGCGGGUCUGAGAGGAUGAUCCGCCACACGGGGACUGAGACACGUCCCAGACUCCUACGGGAGGCAGCAGUGGGGAAUAUUGGACAAUGGGGGGAACCCUGAUCCAGCCAUGCCGCGUGUGUGAAGAAGGCCUUAUGGUUGUAAAGCACUUUAAGCGAGGAGGAGGCUACUUUAGUUAAUACCUAGAGAUAGUGGACGUUACUCGCAGAAUAAGCACCGGCUAACUCUGUGCCAGCCGCCGCUGUAA
This 501-nucleotide ribosomal RNA is filed under the name uncultured bacterium. Its description in RNAcentral is "partial 16S ribosomal RNA". It matches the Rfam family "Bacterial small subunit ribosomal RNA", at positions 30 to 523 of the family's 1533-position model. The record is from RNAcentral.